CAUGCAAGUCGAACGGCAGCACGGGCUUCGGCCUGGUGGCGAGUGGCGAACGGGUGAGUAAUACAUCGGAACGUACCCAGAAGUGGGGGAUAACGCAGCGAAAGUUGCGCUAAUACCGCAUACGUUCUACGGAAGAAAGUGGGGGAUCUUCGGACCUCAUGCUUUUGGAGCGGCCGAUGUCUGAUUAGCUAGUUGGUGGGGUAAAGGCUCACCAAGGCGACGAUCAGUAGCUGGUCUGAGAGGACGACCAGCCACACUGGAACUGAGACACGGUCCAGACUCCUACGGGAGGCAGCAGUGGGGAAUUUUGGACAAUGGGCGCAAGCCUGAUCCAGCAAUGCCGCGUGAGUGAAGAAGGCCUUCGGGUUGUAAAGCUCUUUUGUCAGGGAAGAAACGGUUCCGGCUAAUAUCCGGGGCUAAUGACGGUACCUGAAGAAUAAGCACCGGCUAACUACGUGCCAGCAGCCGCGGUAAUACGUAGGGUGCAAGCGUUAAUCGGAAUUACUGGGCGUAAAGCGUGCGCAGGCGGUUUUGUAAGUCUGUCGUGAAAGCCCCGGGCUCAACCUGGGAAUUGCGAUGGAGACUGCAAGGCUUGAAUCUGGCAGAGGGGGGUAGAAUUCCACGUGUAGCAGUGAAAUGCGUAGAGAUGUGGAGGAACACCGAUGGCGAAGGCAGCCCCCUGGGUCAAGAUUGACGCUCAUGCACGAAAGCGUGGGGAGCAAACAGGAUUAGAUACCCUGGUAGUCCACGCCCUAAACGAUGUCUACUAGUUGUCGGGUUUUAAUUAACUUGGUAACGCAGCUAACGCGUGAAGUAGACCGCCUGGGGAGUACGGUCGCAAGAUUAAAACUCAAAGGAAUUGACGGGGACCCGCACAAGCGGUGGAUGAUGUGGAUUAAUUCGAUGCAACGCGAAAAACCUUACCUACCCUUGACAUGGAAGGAAUCCUUG
This 951-nucleotide ribosomal RNA is filed under the name Massilia sp. RNAcentral describes it as "bacterial SSU rRNA". It matches the Rfam family "Bacterial small subunit ribosomal RNA", at positions 54 to 1001 of the family's 1533-position model. Lineage: Bacteria; Pseudomonadati; Pseudomonadota; Betaproteobacteria; Burkholderiales; Oxalobacteraceae. The record is from RNAcentral.